This 253-nucleotide ribosomal RNA is filed under the name uncultured bacterium. Its description in RNAcentral is "partial 16S ribosomal RNA". It matches the Rfam family "Bacterial small subunit ribosomal RNA", at positions 524 to 776 of the family's 1533-position model. The record is from RNAcentral.
UACGUAGGGCGCAAGCGUUGUCCGGAAUUAUUGGGCGUAAAGAGCUCGUAGGCGGCUUGUCACGUCGAUUGUGAAAGCCCGAGGCUUAACCUCGGGUCUGCAGUCGAUACGGGCUAGCUAGAGUGUGGUAGGGGAGAUCGGAAUUCCUGGUGUAGCGGUGAAAUGCGCAGAUAUCAGGAGGAACACCGGUGGCGAAGGCGGAUCUCUGGGCCGAUACUGACGCUGAGAAGCGAAAGCGUGGGGAGCGAACAGG